RNAcentral lists this ribosomal RNA (478 nucleotides) under uncultured bacterium. RNAcentral describes it as "bacterial SSU rRNA". It matches the Rfam family "Bacterial small subunit ribosomal RNA", at positions 29 to 524 of the family's 1533-position model. The record is from RNAcentral.
AUUGAACGCUGGCGGCAUGCCUUACACAUGCAAGUCGAACGGCAGCACGGGAGCAAUCCUGGUGGCGAGUGGCGAACGGGUGAGUAAUGUAUCGGAACGUGCCUUGUCGUGGGGGAUAACGUAGCGAAAGCUACGCUAAUACCGCAUACCAUCUAAGGAUGAAAGCGGGGGAUCGCAAGACCUCGCGCGACAAGAGUGGCCGAUAUCAGAUUAGGUUGUUGGUGGGGGUAAAGGCCUACCAAGCCGACGAUCUGUAGCUGGUCUGAGAGGACGAUCAGCCACACUGGGACUGAGACACGGCCCAGACUCCUACGGGAGGCAGCAGUGGGGAAUCUUGCGCAAUGGGCGAAAGCCUGACGCAGCAACGCCGCGUGGGGGACGAAGGCUCUCGGGUUGUAAACCCCCUUUCAGGAGGGACGAAAUUGACGGUACCUCCAGAAGAAGCCCCGGCCAACUACGUGCCAGCAGCCGCGGUAAU